RNAcentral lists this small nuclear RNA (117 nucleotides) under Ipomoea nil (Japanese morning glory). RNAcentral's name for it is "U5 spliceosomal RNA". It matches the Rfam family "U5 spliceosomal RNA". From Rfam's summary of the family: U5 RNA is a component of both types of known spliceosome. The precise function of this molecule is unknown, though it is known that the 5' loop is required for splice site selection and p220 binding, and that both the 3' stem-loop and the Sm site are important for Sm protein binding and cap methylation. The record is from Rfam by way of RNAcentral. Lineage: Eukaryota; Viridiplantae; Streptophyta; Magnoliopsida; Solanales; Convolvulaceae.
AGCCAUGUGAUGAACACAAAGCGAACUAUUCUUUCGCCUUUUACUAAAGAAUACCGUGUGUUCGUUACAAUCAAUGGCAUACUCUAAUUUUUGAAGGGUGUUUAACAUUAAACACCC